This is a non-coding RNA of Aedes albopictus (Asian tiger mosquito), 69 nucleotides long. NCBI's taxonomy places the organism in Eukaryota, Metazoa, Arthropoda, Insecta, Diptera, Culicidae. The record is from Rfam.
UGUUCUGUGGCUAGUUAAAGCGCCGGUCUAGCGAAUACGGAGUCGUGGGUUCGAAUCCCACCAGAACGC